AUUGAACGCUGGCGGCAUGCCUUACACAUGCAAGUCGAACGGUAACAGGUCUUCGGAUGCUGACGAGUGGCGAACGGGUGAGUAAUACAUCGGAACGUGCCUAGUAGUGGGGGAUAACUACUCGAAAGGGUGGCUAAUACCGCAUGAGAUCUACGGAUGAAAGCAGGGGAUCGCAAGACCUUGUGCUACUAGAGCGGCCGAUGGCAGAUUAGGUAGUUGGUGGGAUAAAAGCUUACCAAGCCGACGAUCUGUAGCUGGUCUGAGAGGACGAUCAGCCACACUGGGACUGAGACACGGCCCAGACUCCUACGGGAGGCAGCAGUGGGGAAUUUUGGACAAUGGGCGCAAGCCUGAUCCAGCAAUGCCGCGUGCAGGAUGAAGGCCUUCGGGUUGUAAACUGCUUUUGUACGGAACGAAAAGCCCCGGGUUAAUACCCUGGGGUCAUGACGGUACCGUAAGAAUAAGCACCGGCUAACUUCGUGCCAGCCGCCGGGGUAA
Molecule: ribosomal RNA, 498 nt
Filed under: uncultured bacterium
Lineage: Bacteria
Description: partial 16S ribosomal RNA
Rfam family: Bacterial small subunit ribosomal RNA
Source: RNAcentral